RNAcentral lists this unclassified non-coding RNA (299 nucleotides) under plant metagenome. Its description in RNAcentral is "partial contains 5.8S ribosomal RNA, internal transcribed spacer 2, and large subunit ribosomal RNA". The stretch from base 1 to 105 matches the Rfam family "5.8S ribosomal RNA", at positions 50 to 154 of the family's 154-position model. The record is from RNAcentral.
GAAAUGCGAUAAGUAAUGUGAAUUGCAGAAUUCAGUGAAUCAUCGAAUCUUUGAACGCACAUUGCGCCCCCUGGUAUUCCGGGGGGCAUGCCUGUUCGAGCGUCAUUUCACCACUCAAGCCUCGCUUGGUAUUGGGCGACGCGGUCCGCCGCGCGCCUCAAAUCGACCGGCUGGGUCUUUCGUCCCCUCAGCGUUGUGGAAACUAUUCGCUAAAGGGUGCCGCGGGAGGCCACGCCGUAAAACAACCCCAUCUCUAAGGUUGACCUCGGAUCAGGUAGGGAUACCCGCUGAACUUAAGC